This 492-nucleotide ribosomal RNA is filed under the name uncultured bacterium. Its description in RNAcentral is "partial 16S ribosomal RNA". It matches the Rfam family "Bacterial small subunit ribosomal RNA", at positions 29 to 507 of the family's 1533-position model. The record is from RNAcentral.
AGUGAACGCUGGCGGUAGGCCUAACACAUGCAAGUCGAACGGCAGCACAGUAAGAGCUUGCUCUUACGGGUGGCGAGUGGCGGACGGGUGAGGAAUACAUCGGAAUCUACUUUUUCGUGGGGGAUAACGUGGGAAAACUUACGCUAAUACCGCAUACGACCUACGGGUGAAAGCAGGGGAUCUUCGGACCUUGCGUGAUUGAAUGAGCCGAUGUCGGAUUAGCUAGUUGGCGGGGUAAAGGCCCACCAAGGCGACGAUCCGUAGCUGGUCUGAGAGGAUGAUCAGCCACACUGGAACUGAGACACGGUCCAGACUCCUACGGGAGGCAGCAGUGGGGAAUAUUGGACAAUGGGCGCAAGCCUGAUCCAGCCAUACCGCGUGGGUGAAGAAGGCCUUCGGGUUGUAAAGCCCUUUUGUUGGGAAAGAAAAGCAGCAGGUUAAUACCCCGCUGUUCUGACGGUACCCAAAGAAUAAGCACCGGCUAACUUCGUG